Long non-coding RNA from Musca vetustissima, 263 nucleotides. RefSeq lists it as uncharacterized. The record is from RefSeq and is a predicted model, not a curated record. The transcript has 3 exons. NCBI's taxonomy places the organism in Eukaryota, Metazoa, Arthropoda, Insecta, Diptera, Muscidae.
AAAGAUGGCUGAGGAAUUUGAUGUGGAAGCCAUGCUGGAAGCGCCGUACGUGAAAAACAAAACCUUUAUACUCAAUUUGUUGCUAGAGAUUGAUUCAUUUUGGUCAUUCUUAAAUAUGUAGAGCUGGAGACCAUUUGAUGAUUGCACAUACAUACACAUUUGGGUCUGGGCAGCACAUGUCAUAUGCAGGAGUUAAAGGCAAACCUAUUCACAUAAAUUACUGCUACCCCAAUAUGACUAUACCAAUCAACUAUUCGUCAACA